GAGUCUCCUGAAGGAACGUUGAAGACGACGACGUUGAUAGGCCGGGUGUGUAAGCGCAGCGAUGCGUUGAGCUAACCGGUACUAAUGAACCGUGAGGCUUAGCCUUACAACGCCGAAG
This 118-nucleotide ribosomal RNA is filed under the name Salmonella enterica. RNAcentral's name for it is "partial 23S ribosomal RNA". The stretch from base 1 to 106 matches the Rfam family "Bacterial large subunit ribosomal RNA", at positions 2820 to 2925 of the family's 2925-position model. Lineage: Bacteria; Pseudomonadati; Pseudomonadota; Gammaproteobacteria; Enterobacterales; Enterobacteriaceae. The record is from RNAcentral.